GUAACAAGGUUUCCGUAGGUGAACCUGCGGAAGGAUCAUUGAUAGUCCCGAACG
This 54-nucleotide ribosomal RNA is filed under the name Cabomba furcata. Its description in RNAcentral is "partial small subunit ribosomal RNA". The stretch from base 1 to 41 matches the Rfam family "Eukaryotic small subunit ribosomal RNA", at positions 1791 to 1831 of the family's 1831-position model. The record is from RNAcentral. Lineage: Eukaryota; Viridiplantae; Streptophyta; Magnoliopsida; Nymphaeales; Cabombaceae.